UAAGGAAUAUUGGGCAAUGGACGCAAGUCUGACCCAGCCAUGCCGCGUGAAGGAAGACGGCCCUAUGGGUUGUAAACUUCUUUUCUCAGGGGGUAAACUCUGGAACGUGUUCCGGACUGAAAGUACCUGAGGAAUAAGCAUCGGCUAACUCCGUGCCAGCAGCCGCGGUAAUACGGAGGAUGCGAGCGUUAUCCGGAUUCAUUGGGUUUAAAGGGUGCGCAGGCGGAUAUAUAAGUCGGAGGUGAAAUUCUGAUGCUCAACAUCAGCCGUGCCUUCGAUACUGUAUAUCUAGAGUCAAGUUGGAGUAGGCGGAAUGUGUUGUGUAGCGGUGAAAUGCUUAGAUAUAACACAGAACACCGAUCGCGAAGGCAGCUUACUAAACUUUGACUGACGCUCAUGCACGAAAGCGUGGGGAUCAAACA
This 422-nucleotide ribosomal RNA is filed under the name uncultured prokaryote. Its description in RNAcentral is "bacterial SSU rRNA". It matches the Rfam family "Bacterial small subunit ribosomal RNA", at positions 355 to 774 of the family's 1533-position model. The record is from RNAcentral.